RNAcentral lists this ribosomal RNA (254 nucleotides) under uncultured bacterium. RNAcentral's name for it is "partial 16S ribosomal RNA". It matches the Rfam family "Bacterial small subunit ribosomal RNA", at positions 524 to 776 of the family's 1533-position model. The record is from RNAcentral.
UACGGGGGGGAGCAAGCGUUGUUCGGAUUUACUGGGCGUAAAGGGCGCGUAGGCGGCGUGACAAGUCACUUGUGAAAUCUCCGGGCUUAACUCGGAACGGUCAAGUGAUACUGUCGUGCUAGAGUACAGAAGGGGCAACUGGAAUUCUCGGUGUAGUGGUGAAAUGCGUAGAUAUCAGUCGGAACACCGGUGGCGAAGGCGGCUUCUUGGGCCGUUCCUGACGCUGAGGCGCGAAAGCUGGGGGAGCGAACGGG